Molecule: ribosomal RNA, 460 nt
Filed under: uncultured bacterium
Lineage: Bacteria
Description: partial 16S ribosomal RNA
Rfam family: Bacterial small subunit ribosomal RNA
Source: RNAcentral
CCUACGGGAGGCAGCAGUGAGGAAUAUUGGUCAAUGGCCGGAAGGCUGAACCAGCCAUGCCGCGUGAAGGUCAGUGCCCUAUGGGCGUUAAACUUCUUUUGUGCGGGAGCAAUAAUGGUCACGUGUGGCCAGACGAGAGUACCGUACGAAUAAGCAUCGGCUAACUCCGUGCCAGCAGCCGCGGUAAUACGGGGGAUGCAAGCGUUAUCCGGAUUUAUUGGGUUUAAAGGGUGCGUAGGCUGUGAGGUAAGUCAGCGGUGAAAUGCCCCCGCUCAACGGGGUGAAGUGCCAUUGAUACUGCCUGGCUGGAAGGCGGAUGCCGUGGGAGGAAUGUGUGGUGUAGCGGUGAAAUGCAUAGAUAUCACACAGAACACCGAUUGCGAAGGCAUCUCACGAAUCCGCGAUUGACGCUGAUGCACGAAAGCGUGGGUAUCAAACAGGAUUAGAUACCCGAGUAGUC